AGUUAAGGAAGAUUAUUGGAAUGCUCAAGAUGAAAUGAGGGCUUAUCUCUGAAGAACUAGGGUUUCCUGCACUUAGAGGAAGUUUGCUCUGAGUGGUGCAUUCUUGCCCUUGUCAUUCUUCUUCCCUGACGUGGUUCUCCCUCUUUACAGCAUAUUGAUGUUGUAUUUAAAGCAGAGAUCCUUCUAGGCUCUAGCUGGAGAAUCUUUUAGUUUCUUUUAUAGGCUU
RNAcentral lists this long non-coding RNA (226 nucleotides) under Malus domestica (apple). Its description in RNAcentral is "long non-coding RNA (MDOM_LNC013139)". The record is from RNAcentral. Lineage: Eukaryota; Viridiplantae; Streptophyta; Magnoliopsida; Rosales; Rosaceae.